Transfer RNA from Puccinia graminis f. sp. tritici, 101 nucleotides. It matches the Rfam family "tRNA". Rfam says of the family: Transfer RNA (tRNA) molecules are approximately 80 nucleotides in length. Their secondary structure includes four short double-helical elements and three loops (D, anti-codon, and T loops). Further hydrogen bonds mediate the characteristic L-shaped molecular structure. tRNAs have two regions of fundamental functional importance: the anti-codon, which is responsible for specific mRNA codon recognition, and the 3' end, to which the tRNAs corresponding amino acid is attached (by aminoacyl-tRNA synthetases). tRNAs cope with the degeneracy of the genetic code in two manners: having more than one tRNA (with a specific anti-codon) for a particular amino acid; and 'wobble' base-pairing, i.e. permitting non-standard base-pairing at the 3rd anti-codon position. Lineage: Eukaryota; Fungi; Basidiomycota; Pucciniomycetes; Pucciniales; Pucciniaceae. The record is from Rfam.
CCUGUCAUCGUCUAGUGGUUAGGACACCAGGUUUUGAAGCACCCAUCUGGGUCUGAAUCAUCUGCGUCCUGGUAACUUGGGUUCGACUCCCAAUGACAGGU